RNAcentral lists this long non-coding RNA (3506 nucleotides) under Olea europaea subsp. europaea. The record is from RNAcentral. Lineage: Eukaryota; Viridiplantae; Streptophyta; Magnoliopsida; Lamiales; Oleaceae.
ACCAAAAAUCAUAGUUAUCCCCAUUAAAUGUUGGGAUAGGAAUUGAUGAGCGGAAAGCGUCUGCCAUCAUAUAUGCGUACGCCCAAUAUCAAUCGAACGUGGCUCUGAUACCACUGAUAGUUUUUGUGUUGUUGUAGUGAUGAGAUAGGAUGAUUGAGGAUGUUUUGUAUGGAAUAAUUUUGGAGGUAAAAAAUAGUUGGCUUUUUAUUGAAAGUUAAUAGUUUGGAAGAUUUUGGUAGAAAGUAAUUUGGUGGACAAAGUGGGUAGGAGAAAGGAAUUUUAUUAGAAUGAUGAUGGCUUACAAUAGCUUGAGCUUUGUCUAGCUUCUUUUUUUCUUGCAAACAAAUGAGGGAUCAUGCCCUAUUUAUAGACUCUUAUCACAUCUUCUAGAGAAUUCUACAAGUGUCUACAACCUAUACAAGAUUUUUUGGUGUCCAAGUUACUCUAGUGGAAUCUAGACAAUUCUAAUUUUUUAUUAUACUUGCUUACCAAGGAAUUCUAGGAUAUUGUAGGCAAGUAAUUCUAGAUUCUUCUAGAAAUGAGCAUCAUUAAAUUUAUCACNAUUCUGCAGCUGUUAAUUCAUCUAUAUCCUUGGAUUCCUCAAUAGCUGCAAUAAUUGGAUCAUAUUUUUCUGUGCAAGUAAUUAAAAUUUUUCCAACGACCUUCUUUUCGGGAACAUCAUCACCAUAAGACCUUAGUUGAUUUACUAUUUCAUCUAUUCUUGAAUAAUAAUCUUUUACGGUUUUCAACUCUUUCAUUUUUAGAUUUUCAAAAUUCCUUCUUAAAGUUUGAAGGCGGCAAGUACGUACCUUGUUACUGUCGUAGAACUCCUCCUUCAACUUAUCCCAUGCUUCUUUCGCUAUUUUGGCUCCCAUAAUUCUUGGAAAAUAUGUUUCCGUCAAGCUCAUUUGUAGAGAAAGUAAUGCUAGAGAAUCUUUUUGUUGAUUGUCCUUAAGUUCCUUCUUUUGUGCGGAAGUUAAAGUGGAAAUGUCAUCUGGGUUAGUAUACCCAUCGUUGACGACAUCCCAUAAAUUUUGAGCACAAAAGUAGGUCUUUAUUUUGAUAGACAAAAAAUCAUAGUUAUCCCCAUUAAAUGUUGGGAUAGGAAUUGAUGAGCGGAAAGCGUUUGCCAUCAUAUAUGCGUACGCCCGAUAUCAAUCGAACGUGGCUCUGAUACCACUGAUAGUUUUUGUGUUGUUGUAGUGAUGAGAUAGGAUGAUUGAGGAUGUUUUGUAUGGAAUAAUUUUGGAGGUAAAAAUAGUUGGCUUUUUAUUGAAAGUUAAUAGUUUGGAAGAUUUUGGUAGAAAGUAAUUUGGUAGACAAAGUGGGUAGGAGAAAGGAAUUUUAUUAGAAUGAUGAUAGCUUACAAUAGCUUGAGCUUUGUCUAGCUUCUUUUUUUACUUACUAACAAAUGAGGAUCAUGCCCUAUUUAUAGACUCUUAUCAUAUCUUCUAGAGAAUUCGACAAGUGUCUACAACCUAUACAAGAUUUUUUGGUGUCCAAGUUACUCUAGUGGAAUCUAGACAAUUCUAAUUUUUUAUUAUACUUGCUUACCAAGGAAUUCUAGGAUAUUCUAGGCAAGUAAUUCUAGAUUCUUCUAGAAAUGAGCAUCAUUAAAUUUAUCAGUAUCAAAGAUUACGAGGUUUUGCAUGAUAUGUCUGGCUUAGUUUCCACUGAGAAGCUUCCUCAUUUACUUCAAGAAGAGGUACCAAUAUCACUUAUAUUCUCUCAAAUGAACCACAUUCCUAAGUUUUCUUAACCUUCAUAUUGUUCUAGAGUGAGGGUUUUAUCUGUUUAUUUGAGAAAAAUUUGAAGCGUUGGUUAUGUUGUUCAACUCAUUUCUUAAACUCCUCAUUAACCAUUUAAAAUAAGAUGGCAUUGAAACAUUAAACCACAUAUCCAAUAAAUUUGGGGUGUUGGGCUAUAUUCAGUUGGAUAUCUUCGUGGUCAAAUAGAAACCUUUCAACUGCUUAGCUACAAUAUUCAUUUUCAUUUAUGCUUUUAACAUCAUAUGUAAGGGCACAUAAAUUCUACUGUUUAUUGAAAAAUUAUAGAUAUUCACUUCGUGUUAUUCACUUGACCGAUCAUUCUUAUCGUACUUUCAUAUCUCUUCAUAAUGUGAAACUGGAAUUUGUGGUCUUUUCCUAGCCGAUUAUAGAGUGUGUGUGUGUGUGUGUUCCGCCCCCCCACCCCCCUAAAAAAAAACCUUAUGCUGUCUUUUUGAGAUUAAUUUCAAGAAAUUUUCGAGUAACUAAGCUUUAUUCACUUCUCUACGUGAAUCAUUCUUUGUGAUUCCACUAUUCAUGUCUAGAUUCACUAGGAUAUCUAAAGUAACUAGAUUCUUUGCAAAUGCAAUAUGGCAUAUUAAUUUUUUCUUUUGCUGCCUUCCUCUUCUAAUUUCUCUUUUGGAAUCACGUCAUUAUGCGGAAGGGGCCAACCAUAACCCAAAACACCUAAGUUGUUGUUCUGUUAUUUUCCUCAAUCGUCACCACCUCCACUUGUUGAGUUAUAUUUCAAUUACUUAUCUAUUUUAGCAUGACUACAUCCAUCUUUGCGUCCUCUUUUCAGCUUCAUUCAUCUUAUGGACAUUUGACUUUUAAUAACCCAACCCUUGGAACCGUAAACAUAGACAGUUGAAUUAUUUCGUGUAGGACUAGCCUUUUAACGUUACCAGAAUCUUCUUAUCACAGAGAAUUUUUGUAGCACGUCUCCAUUUCAUCCACCCUCACUAAAUCCUAUGCAUUACAUCCAAUUCUGUCGAUCUAUCCCUCCUUGUUAAUAUUCGAAGGUGGAUACAUGAAACAAUGAACAACAUGAUGUUCUAAUAGUUCGUUAUUAUCCUUAUUUCUGCACUACUAAAUAUGCAUUUUCAGGCGAAUACUAGAUCUCCAACUUUUUCAUGUUAAUUUGUUCUAAAAUUUUGUUGUGAAUGAUCUUGAACAAUCAAUUCUCAUGACAAAUGGUAAGAAGGGUAAAACUCUUAUUAAUUGGUUCAGAUGAACAGCUCGCUGAGUUCUAUAUUUCCCAUCUCUUUUUAUCCCAUCUCUGGUUCCCUAGGUUCACCUUUGACUUUCAUAUCACCAAUUUUCAUCAUUUAACUUUUGCUUUGCUAGUGAUUUACAUUUUUCUUGUUGUUAUGGCAGAUUUUGCACUUGCGGAGUCAGCUACUUAUUCUUAAGCGAUGCAACGAUAGCAAGGUAGAAAAAGAUCUGUGUCCACCCCUAAUUUAAGCAUCUUUCAUUCUCUAGUCGUUUAGAUGUAAGAAAUGAAUAUCCAUAUCCUUUUACAAGUCCAAAAAAAGUACUCAUAUAAGUACUAACAUUUUUAGGAGACCACUGCAGAAAAAUUGUUAUUGCCUUUUAUAGGUUUGAGACAACCAUCAGUAUGUGCUUCCCAAGGCGUCAAUGCUCUAAGCGGCAAAGUAACAGUUCUCCAGCGAUUCAAAUUCUCUUUGAAUGAAAAUUCUUACAUGAAAAAUGUCAGCCAUGGUGUCUCUGUUGAUAGUC